GUGGCUGAGUGGUAAAGCGCUUGGCUUCCAAACCAGAGAUCCUGGGUUCGAAUCUUGGC
This 59-nucleotide transfer RNA is filed under the name Biomphalaria glabrata. It matches the Rfam family "tRNA", at positions 7 to 64 of the family's 71-position model. From Rfam's summary of the family: Transfer RNA (tRNA) molecules are approximately 80 nucleotides in length. Lineage: Eukaryota; Metazoa; Mollusca; Gastropoda; Planorbidae. The record is from Rfam by way of RNAcentral.